RNAcentral lists this ribosomal RNA (253 nucleotides) under uncultured bacterium. Its description in RNAcentral is "partial 16S ribosomal RNA". It matches the Rfam family "Bacterial small subunit ribosomal RNA", at positions 524 to 776 of the family's 1533-position model. The record is from RNAcentral.
UACGGAGGAUCCAAGCGUUAUCCGGAUUUAUUGGGUUUAAAGGGUGCGUAGGUGGAAGAAUAAGUCAGGGGUGAAAGCCGGCAGCUUAACUGUCGAAUUGCCUUUGAUACUGUUUUUCUUGAGUAUGGUUGAAGUGGGCGGAAUGUGACAUGUAGCGGUGAAAUGCGUAGAUAUGUCCCAGAACACCGAUUGCGAAGGCAGCUCACUAAGCCAUCACUGACACUGAUGCACGAAAGCGUGGGGAGCAAACAGG